RNAcentral lists this small nuclear RNA (19 nucleotides) under Arabidopsis thaliana (thale cress). Its description in RNAcentral is "snRNA_18573". Lineage: Eukaryota; Viridiplantae; Streptophyta; Magnoliopsida; Brassicales; Brassicaceae. The record is from RNAcentral.
GGUAUCGGUUCGGGUUCGG